UCAACUAGCCCUGAAAAUGGAUGGCGCUUGAGCGAGGGACCUAUACCCAGCCGUUGCUGGCUUGUGCGUUGUCUAGCGCCUGGCCGCAACGAGUAGGAGGGUCGUGGCGGUUGCGUCGAAGGCUUUGGGCGUAGGCCCAGCUGGAGCUUCCGUCAGUGCAGAUCUCGGUGGUAGUAGCAAAUAUUUAAGUUCGAUCCUUGAAGACUGAAGUGGAGAAGGGUUCCACGUGAACAGUAGUUGAAUGUGGGUCAGUCGAUCCUAAGAUACUGGCUUAUGCCUUGUAUCAUUGAGAGGGAAAAGUUUCUUUUCUCUCGGAUAUCAAAAGGGAAUAGGGUUAAUAUUCCCUAACGCAGACACAGAGAUUGCGGCUCUUUGAGUCGCUUGCGCGGUAACGCAUUCGAACUUGGUUACGUCGCUCAGAGACCGAGCUAGAGUUCUCUUCUCUAGUUAAGGAACGGACUCCCUGGAAUCGGUUCAGCCGUAGAUAGGGACGUUGUUUCCGUAAAGCAUCGCGGUUUCUGUGAUGUCUCGUGUUCUCUGGACGGCCCUUGAAAAACCAAGGAAGGCUAUCAAUCUGUGCUGCAUCGUACCGAUAUCCGCAUCAGGUCUCCAAGGUGAACAGC
Molecule: ribosomal RNA, 623 nt
Filed under: Uncinaria hamiltoni
Lineage: Eukaryota; Metazoa; Nematoda; Chromadorea; Rhabditida; Ancylostomatidae
Description: eukaryotic LSU rRNA
Rfam family: Eukaryotic large subunit ribosomal RNA
Source: RNAcentral